This is a long non-coding RNA of Zophobas morio, 227 nucleotides long. RefSeq lists it as uncharacterized. The transcript is spliced from 2 exons. Lineage: Eukaryota; Metazoa; Arthropoda; Insecta; Coleoptera; Tenebrionidae. The record is from RefSeq and is a predicted model, not a curated record.
GCUGCAGCCAAUCCCUCAAUUUGUUACCGUUUUCUCAUUGGUCUAGUCAAGCUGUUAAGCCCCGCCUCCUUUGUUAACCCCUCCCCCAAACUCCCGCUCACCAAGCUCUGACGUCCGUGCAGUGAUUGUAGGUUGAUGGUUGUUUUUUUGAAGAAUUUUGUGUUUGGUAGUUGUGGCACUUGAAUGAGUUGUAGUUUGGUCACGUAAUAAAGUGUUUGAUGUUUGAA